ACCAAAAUCAGUCCCAUUCACAGUUAGCCCACAGGCAAAUAGUGCUAAUGCGUUCAAGGUGAACAUAAUAACAAUGUACUUGUAGAAUGCAGGCCUUGCAGGUAAUCUUUCCCUCCACUUGGAAUGGUACAUGAACAAUAUGAAGCCAUAAACUGCAGUUAGUACUAGCCUGUGGACAACCCACAAGCUCCACUUCAUGUGAUGUUGCUGCUCAUUGCUGUCAAUGAACAAAGGGAUCCCAAGUCCAAACAUAUAUAUUGCCUUGAGGAGUAUGUCCAAACCAACAAUGAGCGCUGAUACAGCAAAUGUCCGUGUCAAAGCUUCCAAACCACUUGCAUAAUUUCCUUGGAGUAAAAAGGCAAUCAAGCUUACUUCCAAAAACAGCAUUCCAGAUGUUGUAAACAAAGAUAAGAUAUUCCAUGUCAAUUCUUUUCCAGCAGUGCACUCCCAUGCCUGAAAGCAGCACCAAGAGAGAUUAAGCAAGCUAACGAGCCAAAGACACCCAUAAUAAGCGAUCAUUAUAUAAGAUCUCCCGUGGGAUAGCUUCGUUACACUCUUUUUGGCCUGAAAUGCCAAGUAUAGUACAAAAGCAAGAGAAGCCAAUAUGAGAGUGACAUUGUGCAUGAACCCAUGGCACUCGAAGAGCCAAUUGUGCAAUCCCGAGCCAAGCAAGCCACUUUCUUUAAGAGACGAAUUAGG
RNAcentral lists this unclassified non-coding RNA (699 nucleotides) under Hevea brasiliensis (rubber tree). The record is from RNAcentral. Lineage: Eukaryota; Viridiplantae; Streptophyta; Magnoliopsida; Malpighiales; Euphorbiaceae.